Molecule: long non-coding RNA, 184 nt
Organism: Bufo bufo (common toad)
Lineage: Eukaryota; Metazoa; Chordata; Amphibia; Anura; Bufonidae
Exons: 2
Source: RefSeq, a predicted model, not a curated record
UGCUUAGUAAUUUCUAUGGAGCCCCUGCCUGUAGCAGGGCUCUAUAGAAAUAAAGUAAAAAUCCUCAUAGACUCCAAUGCUAAUGCUUUGGAGUCUACGAGAAAAGCAAUUCAAUGAUUGCUUCAGAACGGAAAGAAAAGUCAAAAUGGACAAUUUGUCGUUUUUUGGUCGCUUCUUCAACCAC